Molecule: ribosomal RNA, 484 nt
Filed under: uncultured bacterium
Lineage: Bacteria
Description: partial 16S ribosomal RNA
Rfam family: Bacterial small subunit ribosomal RNA
Source: RNAcentral
GUUGAACGCUGGCGGCAGGCCUAACACAUGCAAGUCGAGCGGAUGAAGGGAGCUUGCUCCUGGAUUCAGCGGCGGACGGGUGAGUAAUGCCUAGGAAUCUGCCUGGUAGUGGGGGAUAACGUCCGGAAACGGGCGCUAAUACCGCAUACGUCCUGAGGGAGAUAGUGGGGGAUCUUCGGACCUCACGCUAUCAGAUGAGCCUAGGUCGGAUUAGCUAGUUGGUGGGGUAAAGGCCUACCAAGGCGACGAUCCGUAACUGGUCUGAGAGGAUGAUCAGUCACACUGGAACUGAGACACGGUCCAGACGCCUACGGGAGGCAGCAGUGGGGAAUAUUGGACGAUGGGCGAAAGCCUGAUCCAGCCAUGCCGCGUGUGUGAAGAAGGUCUUCGGAUUGUAAAGAACUUUAAGUUGGGAGGAAGGGCAGUAAGUUAAGACCUUGCUGUUUUGACGUUACCAACAGAAUAAGCACCGGCUAACUUCGUG